UGGGGAAUAUUGCACAAUGGGCGCAAGCCUGAUGCAGCCAUGCCGCGUGUGUGAAGAAGGCCUUCGGGUUGUAAAGCACUUUCAGCGGGGAGGAAGGCGGUAAGGUUAAUAACCUCAUCGAUUGACGUUACCCGCAGAAGAAGCACCGGCUAACUCCGUGCCAGCAGCCGCGGUAAUACGGAGGGUGCAAGCGUUAAUCGGAAUUACUGGGCGUAAAGCGCACGCAGGCGGUUGAUUGAGUCAGAUGUGAAAUCCCCGGGCUUAACCCGGGAAUUGCAUCUGAUACUGGUCAGCUAGAGUCUUGUAGAGGGGGGUAGAAUUCCAUGUGUAGCGGUGAAAUGCGUAGAGAUGUGGAGGAAUACCGGUGGCGAAGGCGGCCCCCUGGACAAAGACUGACGCUCAGGUGCGAAAGCGUGGGGAGCAAACAGG
This 429-nucleotide ribosomal RNA is filed under the name Chloroflexota bacterium. RNAcentral's name for it is "Chloroflexi bacterium partial 16S ribosomal RNA". It matches the Rfam family "Bacterial small subunit ribosomal RNA", at positions 355 to 776 of the family's 1533-position model. The record is from RNAcentral. Lineage: Bacteria; Bacillati; Chloroflexota.